GGAUUGCCCCAGUAACGGCGAGUGAAGCGGCAACAGCUCAAAUUUGAAAUCUGGCCCCAGGCCCGAGUUGUAAUUUGCAGAGGAUGCUUUUGGCGCGGUGCCUUCCGAGUUCCCUGGAACGGGACGCCAUAGAGGGUGAGAGCCCCGUACGGUUGGACACCAAGCCUUUGUAAAGCUCCUUCGACGAGUCGAGUAGUUUGGGAAUGCUGCUCAAAAUGGGAGGUAUAUUUCUUCUAAAGCUAAAUAUUGGCCAGAGACCGAUAGCGCACAAGUAGAGUGAUCGAAAGAUGAAAAGCACUUUGAAAAGAGGGUUAAACAGCACGUGAAAUUGUUAAAAGGGAAGCGCUUGUGACCAGACUUGCGCCCGGUGAAUCACCCAGCUCUCGCGGCUGGGGCACUUCGCCGGCACAGGCCAGCAUCAGCUCGCCGUCGGGGACAAAAGCUUCGGGAACGUAGCUCUCUUCGGGGAGUGUUAUAGCCCGUUGCAUAAUACCCUUCGGCGGGCUGAGGUACGCGCUCCGCAAGGAUGCUGGCGUAAUGGUCAUCAGCGACCCGUCUUGAAACACGGACCAAGGAGUCAACCUUAUGUGCGAGUGUUUGGGUGUUAAACCCCUACGCGUAAUGAAAGUGAACGCAGGUGAGAGCUUCGGCGCAUCAUCGACCGAUCCUGAUGUUCUCGGAUGGAUUUGAGUAAGAGCAUAUAGGGUUGGACCCGAAAGAAGGUGAACUAUGCGUGUAUAGGGUGAAGCCAGAGGAAACUCUGGUGGAGGCUCGCAGCGGUUCUGACGUGCAAAUCGAUCGUCAAAUAUGCGCAUGGGGGCGAAAGACUAAUCGAACCUUCUAGUAGCUGGUUUCCGCCGAAGUUUCCCUCAGGAUAGCAGUGUUGAACUCAGUUUUAUGAGGUAAAGCGAAUGAUUA
Molecule: ribosomal RNA, 918 nt
Filed under: Colletotrichum sp.
Lineage: Eukaryota; Fungi; Ascomycota; Sordariomycetes; Glomerellales; Glomerellaceae
Description: partial large subunit ribosomal RNA
Rfam family: Eukaryotic large subunit ribosomal RNA
Source: RNAcentral